This 407-nucleotide ribosomal RNA is filed under the name uncultured bacterium. Its description in RNAcentral is "bacterial SSU rRNA". It matches the Rfam family "Bacterial small subunit ribosomal RNA", at positions 354 to 775 of the family's 1533-position model. The record is from RNAcentral.
AUUAGGAAUCUUGUGCAAUGGGGGCAACCCUGACACAGCGACGCCGCGUGGAGGAUGACGGCCUUCGGGUUGUAAACUCCUUUUGAUGAGGAAGAAACAAAUGACGGUACUCGUCGAAUAAGCCCCGGCUAACUCCGUGCCAGCAGCCGCGGUAAUACGGAGGGGGCGAGCGUUGUCCGAAGUUACUGGGCGUAAAGGGCGCGUAGGCGGGGUGUCACGUCCGCUGUGAAAGCCUGGAGCUUAACUCCAGCGGGUCGGUGGAUACGGGCACUCUUGAAGGCGUUAGGGGAAGAUGGAAUUACCCGUGGAGCGGUGAAAUGCGUAGAGAUGGGUAGGAACACCGGUGGCGAAGGCGGUCUUCUGGGACGUCCUUGACGCUGAUGCGCGAAAGCUGGGGGAGCGAACGG